RNAcentral lists this ribosomal RNA (2162 nucleotides) under Enterobacter cloacae subsp. cloacae. RNAcentral describes it as "partial 23S ribosomal RNA". It matches the Rfam family "Bacterial large subunit ribosomal RNA", at positions 1 to 2187 of the family's 2925-position model. The record is from RNAcentral. Lineage: Bacteria; Pseudomonadati; Pseudomonadota; Gammaproteobacteria; Enterobacterales; Enterobacteriaceae.
GGUUAAGCGACUAAGCGUACACGGUGGAUGCCCUGGCAGUCAGAGGCGAUGAAGGACGUGCUAAUCUGCGAAAAGCGCCGGCGAGGUGAUAUGAACCCUUGACCCGGCGAUGUCCGAAUGGGGAAACCCAGUGUGAUUCGUCACACUAUCGUUAACUGAAUACAUAGGUUAACGAGGCGAACCGGGGGAACUGAAACAUCUAAGUACCCCGAGGAAAAGAAAUCAACCGAGAUUCCCCCAGUAGCGGCGAGCGAACGGGGAGCAGCCCAGAGUCUGAAUCAGCUUGUGUGUUAGUGGAAGCGUCUGGAAAGUCGCACGGUACAGGGUGAAAGUCCCGUACACGAAAAUGCACAGGCUGUGAACUCGAAGAGUAGGGCGGGACACGUGGUAUCCUGUCUGAAUAUGGGGGGACCAUCCUCCAAGGCUAAAUACUCCUGACUGACCGAUAGUGAACCAGUACCGUGAGGGAAAGGCGAAAAGAACCCCGGCGAGGGGAGUGAAAAAGAACCUGAAACCGUGUACGUACAAGCAGUGGGAGCACCUUCGUGGUGUGACUGCGUACCUUUUGUAUAAUGGGUCAGCGACUUAUAUUCUGUAGCAAGGUUAACCGUAUAGGGGAGCCGAAGGGAAACCGAGUCUUAACUGGGCGUUAAGUUGCAGGGUAUAGACCCGAAACCCGGUGAUCUAGCCAUGGGCAGGUUGAAGGUUGGGUAACACUAACUGGAGGACCGAACCGACUAAUGUUGAAAAAUUAGCGGAUGACCUGUGGCUGGGGGUGAAAGGCCAAUCAAACCGGGAGAUAGCUGGUUCUCCCCGAAAGCUAUUUAGGUAGCGCCUCGUGAACUCAUCUUCGGGGGUAGAGCACUGUUUCGGCUAGGGGGCCAUCCCGGCUUACCAACCCGAUGCAAACUACGAAUACCGAAGAAUGUUAUCACGGGAGACACACGGCGGGUGCUAACGUCCGUCGUGAAGAGGGAAACAACCCAGACCGCCAGCUAAGGUCCCAAAGUCAUGGUUAAGUGGGAAACGAUGUGGGAAGGCCCAGACAGCCAGGAUGUUGGCUUAGAAGCAGCCAUCAUUUAAAGAAAGCGUAAUAGCUCACUGGUCGAGUCGGCCUGCGCGGAAGAUGUAACGGGGCUAAACCAUGCACCGAAGCUGCGGCAGCGACGCUUAUGCGUUGUUGGGUAGGGGAGCGUUCUGUAAGCCGUUGAAGGUGGCCUGUGAGGGCUGCUGGAGGUAUCAGAAGUGCGAAUGCUGACAUAAGUAACGAUAAAGCGGGUGAAAAGCCCGCUCGCCGGAAGACCAAGGGUUCCUGUCCAACGUUAAUCGGGGCAGGGUGAGUCGACCCCUAAGGCGAGGCCGAAAGGCGUAGUCGAUGGGAAACAGGUUAAUAUUCCUGUACUUGGUGUUACUGCGAAGGGGGGACGGAGAAGGCUAUGUUAGCCGGGCGACGGUUGUCCCGGUUUAAGCAUGUAGGCGGAGGUUCCAGGUAAAUCCGGUACCUUUUAACGCUGAGGUGUGAUGACGAGGCACUACGGUGCUGAAGUAACAAAUGCCCUGCUUCCAGGAAAAGCCUCUAAGCAUCAGGUAACACGAAAUCGUACCCCAAACCGACACAGGUGGUCAGGUAGAGAAUACCAAGGCGCUUGAGAGAACUCGGGUGAAGGAACUAGGCAAAAUGGUGCCGUAACUUCGGGAGAAGGCACGCUGAUAUGUAGGUGAAGCCCCUGCGGGUGGAGCUGAAAUCAGUCGAAGAUACCAGCUGGCUGCAACUGUUUAUUAAAAACACAGCACUGUGCAAACACGAAAGUGGACGUAUACGGUGUGACGCCUGCCCGGUGCCGGAAGGUUAAUUGAUGGGGUUAGCGGCAACGCGAAGCUCUUGAUCGAAGCCCCGGUAAACGGCGGCCGUAACUAUAACGGUCCUAAGGUAGCGAAAUUCCUUGUCGGGUAAGUUCCGACCUGCACGAAUGGCGUAAUGAUGGCCAGGCUGUCUCCACCCGAGACUCAGUGAAAUUGAACUCGCUGUGAAGAUGCAGUGUACCCGCGGCAAGACGGAAAGACCCCGUGAACCUUUACUAUAGCUUGACACUGAACACUGGUCCUUGAUGUGUAGGAUAGGUGGGAGGCUUUGAAGCGUGGACGCCAGUCUGCGUGGAGCC